Molecule: ribosomal RNA, 253 nt
Filed under: uncultured bacterium
Lineage: Bacteria
Description: partial 16S ribosomal RNA
Rfam family: Bacterial small subunit ribosomal RNA
Source: RNAcentral
UACGUAGGGCGCAAGCGUUGUCCGGAAUUAUUGGGCGUAAAGAGCUCGUAGGCGGUUUGUCGCGUCUGCUGUGAAAUCCCGAGGCUCAACCUCGGGCCUGCAGUGGGUACGGGCAGACUAGAGUGCGGUAGGGGAGAUUGGAAUUCCUGGUGUAGCGGUGGAAUGCGCAGAUAUCAGGAGGAACACCGAUGGCGAAGGCAGAUCUCUGGGCCGUAACUGACGCUGAGGAGCGAAAGCGUGGGGAGCGAACAGG